This 369-nucleotide ribosomal RNA is filed under the name uncultured bacterium. Its description in RNAcentral is "bacterial SSU rRNA". It matches the Rfam family "Bacterial small subunit ribosomal RNA", at positions 28 to 417 of the family's 1533-position model. The record is from RNAcentral.
GACGAACGCUGGCGGCGUGCCUAAUGCAUGCAAGUCGCACGCAGAGUGCUUGCACUCUGAGUGGCGCACGGCUGAGGAACACGUGGGAAUCUGCCCAACCGUGGGGGAUAACCCGGCGAAAGCCGAGCUAAUCCCGCAUACGCUCGCAAGAGGAAAGCACGUAAGUGCGCGGUCGGAGGAGCCCGCGGCCCAUCAGGUAGUUGGCGGGGUAAUGGCCCACCAAGCCGCUGACGGGUAGCUGGUCUGUGAGGACAGACAGCCAGACUGGGACUGAGACACGGCCCAGACUCCUACGGGAGGCAGCAGCAAGGAAUUUUCGGCAAUGGGCGCAAGCCUGACCGAGCAACGCCGCGUGGAGGAUGACGGCCU